AGGGUUCAAAUAAAUAACCAGGUGGGGGCGGCAGCCAAGUGGCUUUCUGACAUCAGCCGAGGAGUCCCACUGCUCAUGUCACGGCUCUAUGAGGGCAACUGAGUGCCAGUGCUGGCCGGUUGGACAGCAGCGGGAGGGAUGAGGCCACCGGAGGGAAGCGAGGGGUUGUAAAAGGUCACUCUACUCCUCUUAGGAGGAGAAACAACAGUGGGGCACAGCCAGUGGCUCCCCUGGCCCUAGCGGUGUGCAUUGCUGCGCGGACAUGAAUGGUCGAGCCGGUCAUCUUUCCUUUUCCCCCACCGAGCACGAGACUCCUUUCAUGUCUCCCCUGCAAACCCGCCACCCUGAGGCUCUUACAGCCCAGCUUUUUCUCCCUGCCUUCCACAGGACCAGCCAGGAGAAAGCAUCUCUACUUCACAGGCUCUCAGGAGAAUUUCUGAUUCUCUCAACUCUGUAUUAGAUAAAAAACAACAACAACAACAACAACACAGCAUUCUAUUGGGAUGCGAUUGUCGGUUGCCAUGGUCUUCUGUGCAAACAGAAACCCUUUAUUCCGUGUUACGAGUGCUGAACAGUCAAUCCUGCAGUGUCUGCCACAGAAUGAAUUGCUCUGAUAACCAGAUCGUCCACAGGUGGAAAGCCCUUGAGAUCUUCCCGUUUAUAUUCGCCGAAACUGUGAACUCUCUCUCAGGCUUUUAUCAGAGACCGAAAUGGAGGAAUGAGACAAAUGGACCCCAGACUGAGCACAUAAACUCAACAGCGCAUCUAAAGCCGACAGAAGAACAUUUAUUUUCUCCCUAAUGAAAAGGAUUUUUCCUCCUUGUGGGCUUGAGGUGAUAAAGACUUCUGGAAGCCUUGGAAGAAAUGAAACAGUUUUGUUAGACACUGUCUCCCCGUCUGCUUUGAAAUGAAUUACUAAAUUAAGCCACCAAAGGACAUUUUCAACUCCCCAUUCUCCUCCCUGUAUUUGUUUCCUAUGUAAAUGGAAAUUAGGUUUUCUCCAUUUGUCCUCCCAGACACUUCUAUGCAAAAUUCUCUAGCCAAGUCCUCAGCUGGCCUCCCACAUUCAAUUAUGUUUCCCUCAGCUGAAAGAUUGAGGUGCCUCAUGCGAACUAAUUUUAACUCUCAGACAAUUUAAAAGGCUGGCACUUGUUCUGCACCCUAGAUGAUUCCUUCUGCUUUGAGGCCAGAAAGAUCUAUUUCCAUUUCAUACGAGUGACCCAAAUAUGGGUGAUGCAUAGGGCAUGGAGUAAGCAGGGAAUUCAAAGGAACAUUUCGCAUGGUUUGUGUGUCUCCUAAGAAAUUUCAAUGUAUAUUCACACCCUUCCAUCUUUACCGGAAAAUGUGUGAAUUCUCUUUUUUUACUUCUCUUAAUCUGUUGAAUAUAAUGUUGGAAAUGUC
Long non-coding RNA from Peromyscus maniculatus bairdii (prairie deer mouse), 1401 nucleotides. RefSeq lists it as uncharacterized. Lineage: Eukaryota; Metazoa; Chordata; Mammalia; Rodentia; Cricetidae. The record is from RefSeq and is a predicted model, not a curated record.